CAGGGGAGGGCCCCUCACCUGGAGGCAGGUCCCAGCCAGGACUCUGAGGCAAUCCCCAGCUCUAAGGACAUGAACACAGACAUGGAUGAGCACAGGACCUUCCUCUCUGCAAGUCUUCCCCUUGCAGACCAUCGUGCAGGACCAUCAGAGGCACACACCCCUGCUCCAACCCCUGGGCCAGAGCCUCUCAGUCACUCUGCAGUUCAGUUUGUGCACCUGUGUCUUGCACUGAGAGCUCCAUGUGCCAUCCCAGAGGACCCGCACGGGCAGUGGACCGAUUUGGUAAAUGGCCAGCAGAGUGGAGGCUGUGCAGUGCCUAGGUAAGU
Molecule: long non-coding RNA, 326 nt
Organism: Talpa occidentalis (Iberian mole)
Lineage: Eukaryota; Metazoa; Chordata; Mammalia; Eulipotyphla; Talpidae
Exons: 3
Source: RefSeq, a predicted model, not a curated record